This 497-nucleotide ribosomal RNA is filed under the name uncultured bacterium. RNAcentral describes it as "partial 16S ribosomal RNA". It matches the Rfam family "Bacterial small subunit ribosomal RNA", at positions 28 to 507 of the family's 1533-position model. The record is from RNAcentral.
GAUGAACGCUGGCGGCGUGCCUAAUACAUGCAAGUCGAGCGAACAGACGAGAAGCUUGCUUCUCUGAUGUUAGCGGCGGACGGGUGAGUAACACGUGGAUAACCUACCUAUAAGACUGGGAUAACUUCGGGAAACCGGAGCUAAUACCGGAUAAUAUAUUGAACCGCAUGGUUCAAUAGUGAAAGACGGUUUUGCUGUCACUUAUAGAUGGAUCCGCGCUGCAUUAGCUAGUUGGUAAGGUAACGGCUUACCAAGGCAACGAUGCGUAGCCGACCUGAGAGGGUGAUCGGCCACACUGGAACUGAGACACGGUCCAGACUCCUACGGGAGGCAGCAGUAGGGAAUCUUCCGCAAUGGGCGAAAGCCUGACGGAGCAACGCCGCGUGAGUGAUGAAGGUCUUCGGAUCGUAAAACUCUGUUAUUAGGGAAGAACAAAUGUGUAAGUAACUAUGCACGUCUUGACGGUACCUAAUCAGAAAGCCACGGCUAACUACGUG